AUGCAGCCGAUCAACAGCAGAACUCUGCUAGAGGAGGUGAACGACAGCGACAUACCCAUGGAGCCUCUGCACUAUCCUGUUAGGCCGCUGCCGGACGGGGAGGUGCCAGCGGCGACCGCCUCUAGUGCGGACGAAUCUGUGCUGCGGAGGCAGGGACCUCAAGAUCUAACCUGUAUUCGGGCGUUCUGUUCAUGCAGCAGAACUCUGCUAGAGGAGGUGAACGACAGCGACAUACCCAUGGAGCCUCUGCACUAUCCUGUUAGGCCGCUGCCGGACGGGGAGGUGCCAGCGGCGACCGCCUCUAGUGCGGACGAAUCUGUGCUGCGGAGGCAGGGACGGCAGAUAAAGCUCAAGCAUCUGAACACUACAUAG
This 372-nucleotide ribosomal RNA is filed under the name Triticum aestivum (bread wheat). Its description in RNAcentral is "partial small subunit ribosomal RNA". Lineage: Eukaryota; Viridiplantae; Streptophyta; Magnoliopsida; Poales; Poaceae. The record is from RNAcentral.